This 279-nucleotide ribosomal RNA is filed under the name Candidatus Nealsonbacteria bacterium CG_4_10_14_0_2_um_filter_38_17. Its description in RNAcentral is "partial 23S ribosomal RNA". It matches the Rfam family "Bacterial large subunit ribosomal RNA", at positions 2623 to 2925 of the family's 2925-position model. The record is from RNAcentral. Lineage: Bacteria; Candidatus Nealsoniibacteriota.
GAGACAGGUUGGUCCCUAUCUACCGCAGACGUGGAGUUUUGAGAGGAGUCGUCCUUAGUACGAGAGGACCAGGACGAACUGACCUCUGGUGUACCAGCUGUUCCGCCAGGAGCAUUGCUGGGUAGCUAUGUCGGGUUUUGAUAAGCGCUGAAAGCAUCUAAGCGCGAAGCAGACCUCAAGAUUAGAACUCAUAGAUUCCUCAGAGAACAUGAGGUUAAUAGGCUGUAGGUGUAAGUCCGGUAACGGAUUAAGCCGAGCAGUACUAAUAAAUCAUACUUU